Molecule: ribosomal RNA, 460 nt
Filed under: uncultured Saprospiraceae bacterium
Lineage: Bacteria; Pseudomonadati; Bacteroidota; Saprospiria; Saprospirales; Saprospiraceae
Description: bacterial SSU rRNA
Rfam family: Bacterial small subunit ribosomal RNA
Source: RNAcentral
CCUACGGGGGGCUGCAGUAAGGAAUAUUGGUCAAUGCCCGGAAGGGUGAACCAGCCAUCCCGCGUGAAGGAUGAAGGGGCUCUGCCUUGUAAACUUCUUUUGUAUGGGGCGAAAAAAGGGGAUUUAUCCUCGACUGACGGUACCAUAAGAAUAAGCACCGGCUAACUCCGUGCCAGCAGCCGCGGUAAUACGGAGGGUGCGAACGUUAUCCGGAAUCACUGGGUUUAAAGGGUGCGUAGGCUGUUUAAUAAGUCAGUGGUGAAAGGCCGUCGCUUAACGAUGGGACUGCCAUUGAUACUGUUAGACUUGAAUCAGGUUGAGGUUGGCGGAAUGUGGCAUGUAGCGGUGAAAUGCAUAGAUAUGCCAUGGAAUACCGAUUGCGAAGGCAGCUGACUGGACCUUGAUUGACGCUGAGGCACGAAAGCGUGGGUAGCGAACAGGCUUAGAUACCCGUGUAGUC